This is a long non-coding RNA of Glossina fuscipes, 1328 nucleotides long. RefSeq lists it as uncharacterized. The transcript has 3 exons. NCBI's taxonomy places the organism in Eukaryota, Metazoa, Arthropoda, Insecta, Diptera, Glossinidae. The record is from RefSeq and is a predicted model, not a curated record.
AUAAUCGUGUAAACAGGUGAUCAUGAGGUAGACGGCAGUCACCAUCUUAUCCUGUAAGCAAAUUUGCUGGUGAUUGUUACCAAAGCGCUAUCUGAGUUACGUCAAAUCUGCCGGGAAUGAAAUUACUGUCGGUGGCAACAAAAUCGCAUUAGUAUUGAAUAUAAACCAAGACAAGUCACCACAUAUCUGUAAAAGAAAAAUAUAAACAUCUGUUAGAAAUGAAUUAUUUUCAUUUUGAAAAUUAAAUUUUUCCCCAAAAACAAAUGUUUUGAAUCUGUAAAGAAAAGGAAAAAAAAAAUUUGGUGGAAGCAAGUACAAUUUUUCGUUAAAUAUCGAGCUAAAUCAAGAAACGUUAAUUAAUGUGUACAUUUCCAACACAAUGUAUAUGAACUUCUCUUUGCUAUUUCAUUGAAGAAGAGAACAAGGUCAAUCGCGACGCACAAGGAGUAACUAAGUAGUUCCUAAUAUUUGCAAACGACGUAUAAAUAUGUGUUAUAUUGUUGCAUGUUGAUGCAUGCAGAAGUUCCGCGCUUCCAAAGUAGCUUUUCAUUACUUUCGGGGAAAAUUGGUAUUAACGGCGGUGUGGGAUGAACAUAUAUACCGCGCAGGUUGCGCUUGGCCAUGAUUUUACAGUUGUUGGCGUCAAGGAGUUAUUGAUGGCCAGCCUGUAGCGACCAUACCGUAAGUGUUGCACAAACCAGGUUAUCAACUAUUGUAUCAGAGGUGUUACAAGGUUUGGAAGCAAAAUUUUGUGUGUUACCGCCGUCGUGGAGGUGUGAUUUUACCAGAGAUUUCGUAUUCCAGGCGAACAUUACACUUCAUAAUAUCUCUAUAUAUAAAAAUUUCUUGUAUAAAUGCGGAUUACUGUACUACCCGGGAAACAAAAAUUAAAAGCAAGAAAAUGUUCAAAUCAAUUGAAAUACUCCCUAAAUUAUCCAAAAAUUGUGUGAAAAGGCGAUUAUAACGGGGACGAAAUUAGAAAUAUUCCGAAAUGUUGAUUUUUUGUUCGUAGUCGUAGCGCUAUAUUACACUUGGCCACUCUCGAAAGCAAUUGGAGAUGAAAACACCUUGAAACACAAUACGAGCACGUCCAUAUAGUUAUUCAAUUCCAUUAAGCUAAUUGUAUGGUGCAGAUAUCGCAAAUUCAAGGUUAAACGAAAAUUCCAUUAAAAAUUAGAACUUCAAAUGUGUUUUUUUUAAGCUUAUUGGAUGUUUUCUAGUGACACUGUACGAUUUUUCGGAUAGAUGGAAACUUCUCGGUUCAAUCGAAACAAAAAUUCACUCCACAUUUUUGAAGCAAUCUGUUCAAAAAUUCUGUGUUGAUUACA